UCAGAUUGAACGCUGGCGGCAGGCCUAACACAUGCAAGUCGAGCGGAUGACGGGAGCUUGCUCCUUGAUUCAGCGGCGGACGGGUGAGUAAUGCCUAGGAAUCUGCCUGGUAGUGGGGGACAACGUUUCGAAAGGAACGCUAAUACCGCAUACGUCCUACGGGAGAAAGCAGGGGACCUUCGGGCCUUGCGCUAUCAGAUGAGCCUAGGUCGGAUUAGCUAGUUGGUGGGGUAAUGGCUCACCAAGGCGACGAUCCGUAACUGGUCUGAGAGGAUGAUCAGUCACACUGGAACUGAGACACGGUCCAGACUCCUACGGGAGGCAGCAGUGGGGAAUAUUGGACAAUGGGCGAAAGCCUGAUCCAGCCAUGCCGCGUGUGUGAAGAAGGUCUUCGGAUUGUAAAGCACUUUAAGUUGGGAGGAAGGGCAGUAAGUUAAUACCUUGCUGUU
Molecule: ribosomal RNA, 449 nt
Filed under: soil bacterium 5V-06
Lineage: Bacteria
Description: bacterial SSU rRNA
Rfam family: Bacterial small subunit ribosomal RNA
Source: RNAcentral